RNAcentral lists this transfer RNA (70 nucleotides) under Burkholderia vietnamiensis. RNAcentral's name for it is "tRNA-Ser". It matches the Rfam family "tRNA", at positions 9 to 71 of the family's 71-position model. From Rfam's summary of the family: Transfer RNA (tRNA) molecules are approximately 80 nucleotides in length. Their secondary structure includes four short double-helical elements and three loops (D, anti-codon, and T loops). Lineage: Bacteria; Pseudomonadati; Pseudomonadota; Betaproteobacteria; Burkholderiales; Burkholderiaceae. The record is from RNAcentral.
GGCCUAAAAGGAUAUGAGCAGCGGACUCAUAAUUCGUUGGUGCCGGGUUCGACUCCCGGGGGGGCCACCA